RNAcentral lists this long non-coding RNA (439 nucleotides) under Cucumis sativus (cucumber). RNAcentral's name for it is "long non-coding RNA (CSAT_LNC001479)". Lineage: Eukaryota; Viridiplantae; Streptophyta; Magnoliopsida; Cucurbitales; Cucurbitaceae. The record is from RNAcentral.
GAAGCAACUUCACCAUCGAACUCUGGUAUUGGUUCGACCACUUGGAUAUCGACUUGCUCGACAGCACCGCCGAUGUUGAACAUGUCAACUAGACCGAUUGGGGCAAACGAGAUGUUUGAGGUGAUGUCCUAUAGACCAAAAGAACAUUAUAGUGAAUCCACAAAACAAGUUGAUAAACAAAGAAGAAAAUGAAGGAUGGGAGUGGAGGAGGUACAUACCUUCAGAGGAGAAAUAUGGAAAAGAUCGUAUUCUAAAACUUUGAGGGUAACAGGAACUGAAGCACCUUUUGGCAAUCGAGUCAAAUCUCCUGAAAAACAAAUCAAAUUCCUUUUGUUAGAAUUUCUUUUCCUAUUUCUAACUAACACAAGAAAACCCAUCAUGAAUCUUGGUUAUAAAGAGUGAUAUAUCCAUGUACCUGAUCGAUAGGCAUAAACGAUAG